CAGCAGCAGGGGAGGUACUGGGUCAUCUGCCAUGAACUCCCAAGAGGGUCAGCUGGGGGCAGAACACUGAAGUUUCACCCAGGGUGGCCAAUUGUCUUGAGCUACCUCUGUGCACAAGCAAGUUUGGAUGUGUGCAUAUGUGGUCAGUUAAGUACAUGUAAACUUAUGUAGUUUUGGGGUAUCUCAUAGGCUCCUGGUAAACUGCUAAUCUAGCCCUUUGCAUUGCAAAUUUGGAUCACUUCUCUUUAGGGCUGGGUAAGAAUAGCAGUGACAUGCCAGCAAGUUGCUGGGGAGGAACAUGCUCCUUUGUUUAAAGGGCCUGUGUUCUAGUGGAAGAGGAAGAGAUGCUAGAGUUUCUCUUUUGUUCCUAAGAUGAGGCCCAAUUUUCAAUUGUUUUUUUUUUUAAUAUAACGUUACAUAUGCAAAUCUAAAAUGGUCACAAGCAUCAGCAUCUGAUCAGAGUGGAAAAUAACCUGGCUCAUGUUUGUGACCUAAGACAAUUUGCUAUUUGAAACAAAAUCCACAAUUGUCAAGCAAACAGCUGAGUUUGAUUAAAAUGAAGGCUGCAGCUGCCUAUAUUUUGAUCUGCUUGAACUUCACCUGUUCAUGGCUGAAUCAGCCUUUGAAAAGGUCAUUCGUCGGGUCAGCAAACUGAGGGUGGAAUUUUAUUUCUGAGUGGGGAACUUACAGGAUGGUGGUGUAGAUUAGCCAACCUCAAACAUGCAGAGUUAAUGAAUCCAGCCCCCUAAAACCAUGAGACUUGCCUAAAAAUCAUGAGAUUAAAACCAAAAAAAGCAUGUUAGUUUUUUGUUGUUGUUGCCUUUUGGAUUCUGAGCCUUUAGAAUGUGUUUUCUUCAUGUUUCAAGCUUUUUUUUUUUUUUCUGCAACCAUAAAAGCUAGAGAUUAUUAUUAUUAUUAUUAUUUAUUUUUUUUAAAUGAAAGCUGAGAGUCUCAUAAAGGCUCAUGAGCUCAGUAGUAAGGAAGGGCUUGAAGAAAACAACUUAAAAAAAAAAAUCACAAGAUUAGUGAUUGGUGCAUAGAGGCUGCUCAAGACAAUCUGCUGUGCUGGGCAAUACUGAUGGAGACUGGGUUUCCAUAGUGCCCAUUGGUGGUCCAUGGAAGCAUUGCACGGAUGAAUUAGAUCUGUGCGGCAAGGUCUGUUGUGAACAUAGUGAGUCUUCUGCUCUUCCCAGUUUCUAGAAUGUUCUGCUUGUGGGCAUAUACAUUAGCAGCAUUUUUGCAGAGCUGCCUAGCAGUCUUAGAUGCCCCAUUCCAUGUUCAGCUUUGAAAGCCUCAGCCAAUGCAUAUUUGCAUCUUUCCAGUUAUGGAGAUGCUGUGUGCACAGAUGGAGGGCAGUGCAUGGAAUGCUCAGCUGUUUCCAGAUGUGAGAGAAGAAGGUAUCCAUCUGUGUCAGGAGAAACCUUUGAGCUCUAUGGUCCUGUCUUUCUUUUCUUUUUGGAACAACUCUGCCGGAGGGUUGCUUCUCCUGCCAACUCCUGAUGCCUCUGGCCCCUCGUUUGCCUUUUCUUUGGCCUCAUCUCUGUUACGAGGGGUUGGUUUUUUGUUUUUUUCAAAAGCACUCAGCAUUGGCCUACUUCUGCUGUGCAACCUGCCCCGGACCCAAUUACAAGUGUUGGGGUCGGUCAGAUGUAAUUUGCAGAGAAUAUAUUCAGGCUUGGUUCAGGUUAAGUAGCCUCUUAUCACUGAGGGCUUGUUUAGGUGAACAAUUGGUAUGGGGUGAGUUGGGGCAAGAAACUAUCCUACACUAGCUUGCCAGGGUCUAACUGUCCAUGUGCAUAUACACCCUGGUGAAGCGCAUAUGAACAAUUUAACAGGCUUUGAUCUAGUCCUGUUUCAAAGAUGCAACUGGAUAGCUAGACCGUGGCAGGUUAGUGAGGGGUAGACUUACAGCCCAGCUUGGUGCAAACUAAUUAUUCACGUAGAUAGCCCUUAGUUUGAAGUGUGUAUAUUUUGGAUUAUUAUAUUUCGGGAUGUUGGGUACAAAACAACUCUACACACUCAGGCUAGGGUUGGGUUUGAGAUUGGCUGUAGUCUACUUAGGUUUGGGUUGGGCUUCUGAAUUAGGUUGUGCUCUGCUCCAGUUGAAGUCGGUGAUGGAGAUUUCAGUGGCAGCUGAAAAUUCCACCCACCGACCUCAGCCAUGCUGGGAACCUGGAUAUAAUGUGGUCAGCCCCUGGACUCCGUUACAAUCUGGCUCGUUUUGGCUGGGUACAUGGAACAGAGAUAAGGGCAGUUAAGUCCCAUCUACCUCACAACGUGGAUUUACAUUGUAAAUGUGUCUUAUGAUACAUUUGACCCUUAAGGCCCCAUCCAUGCUAACUACAACCUUGUUCAAAUGCAGUUUCUGCUAGCAGCAUUCUAACACCAACUGACUAUUGAUGAGAGCAGUUAUUUUUUUGAGAACCAGGAUAGACCUAAAGUUCCAUCCAUACAGCAAGAUGUCGGGGGACCAUGUUGAAAGAUGGGUUGGCAUUCUCUGGAUAAACAUGCCUGAAAUGUAAAACCAUGUUUCUGUCCUGUAAAUAACAGAAUUCCAUAACGCAAUCUGAUCACACCUACACAAACAAGGUCAAAUUGUAUUAUAAUGCAGUCCCUGCUACCUUCCAACAUGUUAAAUUUUUAGACUGUCCCCAGAGAUCAUUUUUUACCAUGGUUUUAUAACAUGAGUCUCUAAUCAAUAAUCCCUACAUCCCCAAUGGGUAGGGAAACCAUGCUUGCAUGCUAACGAAUAUGUUUAAAUAUGGCUUUAGUUAGCAUAUCUCUGAUCCCAGCAGGGACAAAGUAUCAGUUACCUAGGUUAGUGGUUUUCAA
This is a long non-coding RNA of Dermochelys coriacea (leatherback sea turtle), 2832 nucleotides long. RefSeq lists it as uncharacterized. Lineage: Eukaryota; Metazoa; Chordata; Testudines; Dermochelyidae. The record is from RefSeq and is a predicted model, not a curated record. The transcript has 3 exons.